This 1529-nucleotide ribosomal RNA is filed under the name Hahella ganghwensis DSM 17046. RNAcentral's name for it is "bacterial LSU rRNA". It matches the Rfam family "Bacterial large subunit ribosomal RNA", at positions 1332 to 2841 of the family's 2925-position model. Lineage: Bacteria; Pseudomonadati; Pseudomonadota; Gammaproteobacteria; Oceanospirillales; Hahellaceae. The record is from RNAcentral.
CCCCGCCGGAAGACCAAGGGUUCCUGCGCAACGCUAAUCGGCGCAGGGUGAGUCGGCCCCUAAGGCGAGACCGAAAGGUGUAGUCGAUGGGAAAUCGGUUAAAAUUCCGAUACUUUGUAUUGCUGCGAUGGGGGGACGGAGAAGGCUAGGCCAGCACACUGUUGGAUGUGUGUUUAAGCCCGUAGGGAGUGAACUUAGGUAAAUCCGGGUUCAUAAUCCUGAGAGGUGAUGACGAGGUCUCUUAACGAGACUGAAGUGGUUGAUGCCCAGCUUCCAGGAAAAGCCUCUAAGCUUCAGGCAAUACAGAACCGUACCCCAAACCGACACAGGUGGUCAGGUAGAGAAUACCAAGGCGCUUGAGAGAACUCGGGUGAAGGAACUAGGCAAAAUGGUGCCGUAACUUCGGGAGAAGGCACGCCGUCAUGUACGUGAAAGCCCUGCGGCUGGAGCGGAAGGCGGUCGAAGAUACCAGGCCCCUGCGACUGUUUAUUAAAAACACAGCACUCUGCAAACACGAAAGUGGACGUAUAGGGUGUGACGCCUGCCCGGUGCCGGAAGGUUAAUUGAUGGGGUUAGCUUCGGCGAAGCUCUUGAUCGAAGCCCCGGUAAACGGCGGCCGUAACUAUAACGGUCCUAAGGUAGCGAAAUUCCUUGUCGGGUAAGUUCCGACCUGCACGAAUGGCGUAACGAUGGGGGCGCUGUCUCCACCCGAGACUCAGUGAAAUUGAAAUCGCAGUGAAGAUGCUGUGUAUCCGCGGCUAGACGGAAAGACCCCGUGAACCUUUACUACAGCUUCACAGUGAACUUUGAACCUACUUGUGUAGGAUAGGUGGGAGGCUUUGAAGUGGCGACGCCAGUUGUCAUGGAGCCAUCCUUGAAAUACCACCCUGGUAUGUUUGAGGUUCUAACUCUGGCUGGUUAUCCCGGUCGAGGACAUUGUGUGGUGGGUAGUUUGACUGGGGCGGUCUCCUCCCAAAGAGUAACGGAGGAGCACGAAGGUGCGCUAAGUACGGUCGGACAUCGUACGGUUAGUGUAAUGGCAUAAGCGCGCUUAACUGCGAGACCCACACGUCGAGCAGGUACGAAAGUAGGUCAUAGUGAUCCGGUGGUUCUGUAUGGAAGGGCCAUCGCUCAACGGAUAAAAGGUACUCCGGGGAUAACAGGCUGAUACCGCCCAAGAGUUCACAUCGACGGCGGUGUUUGGCACCUCGAUGUCGGCUCAUCACAUCCUGGGGCUGAAGCCGGUCCCAAGGGUAUGGCUGUUCGCCAUUUAAAGUGGUACGCGAGCUGGGUUUAGAACGUCGUGAGACAGUUCGGUCCCUAUCUGCCGUGGACGUUGGAGAUUUGAGAAGAGUUGCUCCUAGUACGAGAGGACCGGAGUGAACGAACCGCUGGUGUUCGGGUUGUGAUGCCAAUUGCAUUGCCCGGUAGCUACGUUCGGACAGGAUAACCGCUGAAAGCAUCUAAGCGGGAAGCCCCCUUCAAGAUGAGAUCUCCCUGAGGACUUGAUCCUCCUAAAGGGCCCUUGU